RNAcentral lists this ribosomal RNA (419 nucleotides) under bacterium. Its description in RNAcentral is "partial 16S ribosomal RNA". It matches the Rfam family "Bacterial small subunit ribosomal RNA", at positions 355 to 776 of the family's 1533-position model. The record is from RNAcentral.
UGGGGGAUAUUGCACAAUGGGCGAAAGCCUGAUGCAGCGACGCCGCGUGGGGGAUGAAGGCCUUCGGGUUGUAAACUUCUUUUGCUCUGAACAAGGCGCACCAUGGGGUGUGUUGAGUGUAGGGGUUGAUUAGCGCCGGCUAACUACGUGCCAGCAGCCGCGGUAAUACGUAGGGCGCGAGCGUUGUCCGGAAUUAUUGGGCGUAAAGGGCUUGUAGGUGGCUGGUUGCGUCUGUCGUGAAAGCUCAUGGCUUAACUGUGGGUUUGCGGUGGGUACGGGCUGGCUUGAGUGCAGUAGGGGAGGCUGGAAUUCCUGGUGUAGCGGUGGAAUGCGCAGAUAUCAGGAGGAAUACCGGUGGCGAAAGCGGGUCUCUGGGCUGUUACUGACACUGAGGAGCGAAAGCAUGGGGAGCGAACAGG